CCUACGGGUGGCAGCAGUGGGGAAUAUUGGACAAUGGGCGAAAGCCUGAUCCAGCCAUGCCGCGUGUGUGAAGAAGGCCUUCGGGUUGUAAAGCACUUUCAGUGGGGAAGAAAGCCUUGGGGCUAAUACCCUCGAGGAAGGACAUCACCCACAGAAGAAGCACCGGCUAACUCCGUGCCAGCAGCCGCGGUAAUACGGAGGGUGCGAGCGUUAAUCGGAAUUACUGGGCGUAAAGCGCGCGUAGGCGGUCUGAUAAGCCGGUUGUGAAAGCCCCGGGCUCAACCUGGGAACGGCAUCCGGAACUGUCAGGCUAGAGUGCAGGGGAGGAAGGUAGAAUUCCCGGUGUAGCAGUGAAAUGCGUAGAGAUCGGGAGGAAUACCAGUGGCGAAGGCGGCCUUCUGGACUGACACUGACGCUGAGGUGCGAAAGCGUGGGUAGCAAACAGGAUUAGAUACCCUGGUAGUC
Molecule: ribosomal RNA, 465 nt
Filed under: Vreelandella stevensii
Lineage: Bacteria; Pseudomonadati; Pseudomonadota; Gammaproteobacteria; Oceanospirillales; Halomonadaceae
Description: partial 16S ribosomal RNA
Rfam family: Bacterial small subunit ribosomal RNA
Source: RNAcentral